UACUAUUAUAAAAGAGGGACACUUACAAAUGCCUUAGGAAAUGUUCCUAGGCCAUAAAACACCUUCAGCUUCCUAAACAAGAAGACUUCAAACCAUAAGCAGGUUUUCUUGUGAUGCCUGCUGUACUUCUUGUGGUGUGUCUAACAUCAAAGCUCAGGCCCUUAUUUAUAGUUCCAAGACGAGACAACAAGUCUGAUUUUCCCGAUGUGAGACUAUGGGACUUGCCAAACUAACAAAUCUCCACCUUGGCAUGUCCCAACAAAACUUGCUCCACCUUCUUCAUAAAAGCCCCAACGGGCAAUCACCAACAAUGAAUACCAACCAAGUCCAAGCACUGCUUGAACUUGUAAACCGGAAGAGGCUUCGUAAACAUAUCAGCUGGAUUGUCCUUCGUAUGAAUUUUCUGAACAAGGACUUUUCCUUCAGCAAUCAACCACUUAGCGGAAUUAUCACAAGAAACUGCAUCUGAAUAGGAAGUAGGCUCACCAACUUCACUUGUUUCUUCUGCAACAGACAAAGCAUAUGCAACCAAAUUUGCAUACCUUUGUGGUGGUCGAAUAUUUCUCAUAUAACGCAUAUACCAUAAUUUGGUGAUGUCAGAAUCAGACAAUGAUGAUGACGAAACUGCAACUGAACCUGUGACAGUAGUUCCCUGUAGAAUAUACAAGCUACCAGACCUACAAGCUUUCAUAACAAUAAGAGCACUUCUAGAAACUUUCAUAACUCCACCUUCAGUUGUGUAUUUACACCCAAGGGCCUUUAGGGUGCCUAAAGAGAUGAGAUUCUUUUUCAAAUCAGGAACAUGUCUAACAUUAGUAAGCGUCCUCACAAUACCAUCAUGCAUUUUAAUUCGGAUUGUGCCUCUACCAACAACAUCACAUGCGGCAUUAUUGCCCAUCAAAACAAUUCCACCAUUACAAGAUUCAUAUGUGGAAAACAAAUCCCUAUUGGGACACAUGUGAUAAGAACAACCCGAAUCUAAAAUCCAUUCAUUUUUAGACCUCGUCCUGUCAUCAAUAGCAGAGAAAAUAUUUCCAACAUUCUCAUCAGUUGCUACACUAACUUCAGCGGAUUCAAUAGUUUUCUCAACAAAAUUUUCCUUUUGCUUUAAUUUAUUUUUCAAUUUAAAGCAAUCAGAUUUAAUGUGCCCCAUUUUAUGACAAUAUCUGCAUUCCAAAUUUCUAUGUCUGGAUUUAGAUCUACUACUGUCAAAUUCUCUUUUAUCCAUUCUCCCCCUAACAACCAGACCCUCAGCCUCAGCCUGAUUCUCUCUACUUUCCCCAGUGAUAUUCCUGUCUAUCUGCUCCUUAGAUUUCAGUGCAGAUUUAAUUUCUGGAUAAGAAAAUGUUUCUUUUCCAUAAAUCAAAGUAUCACGGAAAUGCUUAAAAGAUUGGGGAAGAGAACACAAGAGUAACAAAGCCUUAUCCCCAUCAUCAAUUUUUGCAUCUAUAUUCUCCAAAUCCAUAACCAAAGAAUCAAACUUAUCAAGAUACGAGAGUAUAGAUGUACCUUCAAUCAUCCGAAGCAUAUACAGACUCUGCUUCAAGUAGAGACGAUUCUCCACUGUCCUCUUCAUGUACAAGGCUUUAAGCUUGUCCCACAUGCUCUUAGCCGUAGUCUCCGUAACUACCUCCCGUAAAACCUCGUCAGAGAGAUUUAGAAUGAUGUUUGAUCGGGCCUUCUUAUCCAUACCCGCAAGCUCUUCUUUUGACAUAUAAUCUGGAAUGCUCUUGGCUCCCUGUAAUACCAAAUCAACUCCGUCUUGAACCAGAAUGGCCUCCAUCUUGAGUUGCCACAAGCCGAAGUUGACAUUUUUGUCGAAUUUCUCGACAACAAUCUUUGUUAUUGUCAUCGUUGCCAAAAGAUCUCAGAACCAGGCUCUGAUACCAGUUUGUUAGAGCUAGCCCCAGGAUAUUUACCAAAGGGUAAUUUUGGCAACACAACAAAGACAAUAAAGCGGAAAUAAUAAAAGCGACAAGAACAAACAAAACACCAGAACACCAGAUAUACGUGGUUCGGUCAAAUGACUUUGACCUACAUCCACGGAAGAAAGAGGAGCAAAUUACUAUUAUAAAAGAGGGACACUUACAAAUGUCUUAGGAAAUGUUCCUAGGUCAUAAAACACCUUCAGCUUCCUAAACAAGAAGACUUCAAACCAUAAGCAGGUUUUCUUGUGAUGCCUGCUGUACUUCUUGUGGUGUGUCUAACAUCAAAGCUCAGGCCCUUAUUUAUAGUUCCAAGACGAGACAACAAGUCUGAUUUUCCCGAUGUGGGACUAUGGGACUUGCCAAACUAACACCUUGCUCCACAAUUUGAAAGAUAAAUGCUUUACAUCGGCUCUCUUAUUUCUGAUUUCUUCCUUCGGGGGGAAAUUUGGAGUACCAAGUGAGUCUGAGGGUGUCAAAACCAAUUUUUCCUGGGCGUGAUGGAACCUUCUCGUGUUCUUAUUGGUUCAUCUUGUCCGCCAUUUUCUUUCUGGUCUUGCUUUCUUUCCUUGUGAAUGAUUGAUGAUGAUCUGAAACGUGUCAUCGUGUUGGCAAUUGGUGUGGUAGUUCUUCAACUGACAGUUGGAAAAGGGCUCUUGUGCUCCCAUCAGCAUGGAGGGCUACUCUUAUUCAGUGAACCUUUGUGUUGCUAAAGUUAUUGCAUUGCCAAUGGAGUCAAGAAAAAUAUAUUUAUUUGCUGUUUGCAUUUGUUAAGCACCAAAGUCUGUUGCUUUCUAUAAUUAUCUCCCACUGGAAUUGUAGCUUUAUGUCAAAUGGUCAAUCCUCUUUACAUCCUCCAGAU
RNAcentral lists this long non-coding RNA (2787 nucleotides) under Musa acuminata (dwarf banana). RNAcentral's name for it is "long non-coding RNA (MACU_LNC004800)". Lineage: Eukaryota; Viridiplantae; Streptophyta; Magnoliopsida; Zingiberales; Musaceae. The record is from RNAcentral.